RNAcentral lists this non-coding RNA (23 nucleotides) under Arabidopsis thaliana (thale cress). Lineage: Eukaryota; Viridiplantae; Streptophyta; Magnoliopsida; Brassicales; Brassicaceae. The record is from RNAcentral.
UCUGACUAUAUUAGAGAUAAUCA